CCUACGGGUGGCUGCAGUGAGGAAUAUUGGUCAAUGGACGAGAGUCUGAACCAGCCAUGUCGCGUGCAGGAUGACUGCCCUAUGGGUUGUAAACUUCUUUUAUAUGAGAGUAAACCUUUCUACGUGUGUUAUUUUGUAUGUACUUUACGAAUAAUGAUCGGCUAACUCCGUGCCAGCAGCCGCGGUAAUACGGAGGAUCCAAGCGUUAUCCGGAUUUAUUGGGUUUAAAGGGUGCGUAGGUGGAUUGUUAAGUUAGUGGUGAAAGUUUGCGGCUUAACCGUAGAAGUGCAGUUGAUACUGGCGAUCUUGAGUACAGUAGAGGUGGGCUGAAUGCGUGGUGUAGCGGUGAAAUGCUUAGAGAUCACGAAGAACUCCGAUUGCGAAGGCAGCUCACCGGACUACAACUGACACUGAGGCACGAAAGUGUGGGGAUCAAACAGGAUUAGAUACCCGAGUAGUC
RNAcentral lists this ribosomal RNA (460 nucleotides) under uncultured bacterium. Its description in RNAcentral is "partial 16S ribosomal RNA". It matches the Rfam family "Bacterial small subunit ribosomal RNA", at positions 338 to 795 of the family's 1533-position model. The record is from RNAcentral.